GAUGAACGCUAGCGGCAGGCCUAACACAUGCAAGUCGAGGGAGGAGCUUUCGGGCUUCGACCGGCGUACGGGUGCGUAACGCGUAUACAAUCUGCCUUUCACAUAGGGAUAGCCCGAAGAAAUUUGGAUUAAUACCUAAUGGUAUAUAGGAGUGGCAUCACAUUUAUAUUAAAGCUGAGGCGGUGAAAGAUGAGUAUGCGUUCUAUUAGCUAGUUGGAGAGGUAACGGCUCCCCAAGGCGACGAUAGAUAGGGGUUCUGAGAGGGAUAUCCCCCACACUGGUACUGAGAUACGGACCAGACUCCUACGGGAGGCAGCAGUGAGGAAGAUUGGACAAUGGUCGGAAGACUGAUCCAGCCAUGCCGCGUGCAGGAAGACGGCCUUAUGGGUUGUAAACUGCUUUUGCAGGGGAAGAAUAAGGACUACGAGUAGUUUGAUGACGGUACUCUGCGAAUAAGCAUCGGCUAACUCCGUG
Molecule: ribosomal RNA, 474 nt
Filed under: uncultured bacterium
Lineage: Bacteria
Description: partial 16S ribosomal RNA
Rfam family: Bacterial small subunit ribosomal RNA
Source: RNAcentral